UACGAAGGGGGCUAGCGUUGCUCUGAAUCACUGGGCGUAAAGCGCACGUAGGCGGAUUGUUAAGUCAGGGGUGAAAUCCUGGAGCUCAACUCCAGAACUGCCUUUGAUACUGAAGAUCUUGAGUUCGGGAGAGGUGAGUGGAACUGCGAGUGUAGAGGUGAAAUUCGUAGAUAUUCGCAAGAACACCAGUGGCGAAGGCGGCUCACUGGCCCGAUACUGACGCUGAGGCACGAAAGCGUGGGGAGCAAACAGG
This 253-nucleotide ribosomal RNA is filed under the name uncultured bacterium. RNAcentral's name for it is "partial 16S ribosomal RNA". It matches the Rfam family "Bacterial small subunit ribosomal RNA", at positions 524 to 776 of the family's 1533-position model. The record is from RNAcentral.